Regulatory RNA element from Brevibacillus panacihumi W25, 96 nucleotides. It matches the Rfam family "ylbH leader". Rfam says of the family: This family is a putative regulatory RNA structure that is found upstream of the ylbH gene in B. subtilis and related low GC Gram-positive bacteria. NCBI's taxonomy places the organism in Bacteria, Bacillati, Bacillota, Bacilli, Caryophanales, Paenibacillaceae. The record is from Rfam.
AUCAGACACAACGUGCGCAAAAGUGAACACCUUUCAAUUAUGGGAGAGGAGAAACCGGAGGAAGAGCUUAUGGGGAAACGUAAGUCUUCUCCGCGG